This 978-nucleotide ribosomal RNA is filed under the name Triticum aestivum (bread wheat). Its description in RNAcentral is "partial small subunit ribosomal RNA". The stretch from base 849 to 945 matches the Rfam family "Small nucleolar RNA R64/Z200 family". The record is from RNAcentral. Lineage: Eukaryota; Viridiplantae; Streptophyta; Magnoliopsida; Poales; Poaceae.
CCAUCUUCCCCCAUCGCACCCCUCCUCCGGAUCUCCUCGCCGCCGCCGCCACCUCCCGAUCCAAUCUCUCCCCGCCGCCUCCCGAUCCUUCCGCCGCCGCUCCGUCCUCCCCUUCCUUCCGCCCUCCAUCUCUCCCCUCGCCUCCGCCACCCGACGGCCAUGGCGCGCCUCUUCCUCAUCCCAGAUCAGAUCCAGCGCCCCCAACCGCAUCCAUCCGUCAGAGGCGCUGGAGGCGCACUGUGCGGUUCUACUGGGCGGCGACCCGACGGCGUCCGGCGCAUCACGCGCCGAACCAUCUGUGCGGUUCUACUGGGCGGCGACCCGACGGCGUCCGGCGCGCUGCUCACCCGUCGGCCUCCAACGCCGACCAGGCGGCCGCUGAGUCCACCACGCCCACCCAGCCGCAGCCGGAAGAGCAGGAGGACGGGAUGAGCUCCGGGACGGGGAAUGUGGUGUGCGUCACCGGCGCGUCGGUCUACAUCGUGUCCUGGCUCGUCAAGUUCCUCCUCCAGUGUGGCUACACCAUCCGCGCCACCGUCAGCCGACCCCAAGAAAACAUUGCACCUGCAGGCCCUGGAUGGAGCCAAGGACAUUGCUAAUCUUCUCUGCUCCUCCUAAUCUUCUCUGAACCAGAAAACUGGUGCUGCUACUGACGCCCAUACUGCUGCCCCUCUUUCUCUCCCAGUUGAUUCGUCAUCUCGGGUCAUAAUUUUUCUGCAUUCCCUGUUGCUGUAGCUUGUUGGAUGCAUAGUUUGAUCUCCCAAUGGGAAUUAUUAGUAAAUGGUGAUGUCUGUGGUCACGAGAUCCUUGGUUGCAUCUGGUUUCUUAGUGACGUUUCCGCAGUUUGCAAAAUGCUGUGAUGAAUCAUGAAAUCUACGACGUAUGUCAGACAUCAGAGAUGCCAUUUGGCAUUGAUGAGAAGAUAUUUCAUAUUCUAAGCAAUAAUGUUGCAUUUCAUACCGAUAGUUGCCAAACUAU